Molecule: transfer RNA, 67 nt
Filed under: Podilymbus podiceps
Lineage: Eukaryota; Metazoa; Chordata; Aves; Podicipediformes; Podicipedidae
Description: tRNA-Cys
Source: RNAcentral
GGCCCUGUAGUGAAGUUCAUGUUGAGUUGCAAGCUCGAUGAUGUACAUUGAGAGUGUACCGGGGUCU